Molecule: ribosomal RNA, 413 nt
Filed under: Coeloplana loyai
Lineage: Eukaryota; Metazoa; Ctenophora; Tentaculata; Platyctenida; Coeloplanidae
Description: s-rRNA
Source: RNAcentral
GAAUUUUAUUAUUUUAUAUUUUAGAUUAUAUUUAUUUAUAUGAUUAAUUAUAAUAUUUAUUUAUUAUUUAAAAUAAAUUGUUCCAGAUUAUUCGGCUACACUUUUUAAUUUAUUUUUUUUUUGUUUUUAUAUUAAAUUUUAUUUUUUUUAUUUUUUUGUGUUUAUUAUCAUAUUGAGAAAUAUUACGUUUUAUUUAUUUAUUUUUUUUACAUAGUUUUUUAGAAUAUACAUGAAUUUUUUAUUUUUUAUGAUAAUUUUUUAAAAUGUUUAAUUUUUAUAUUUUAUAAUUUGUUUUUAAUUUUAGAAAUUAUUUUUGUUUUUUAAUAUUUAUAGUCCUAUGAAAAAAUAAUUUUUUAAGUAGUAUUAGGGAAUAAAAUUUUAUAAAUUUUAUAUUUGAUAAUUUAAAAUUUUUU